This 2789-nucleotide ribosomal RNA is filed under the name Escherichia coli. Its description in RNAcentral is "bacterial LSU rRNA". It matches the Rfam family "Bacterial large subunit ribosomal RNA". Lineage: Bacteria; Pseudomonadati; Pseudomonadota; Gammaproteobacteria; Enterobacterales; Enterobacteriaceae. The record is from RNAcentral.
AGCGUACACGGUGGAUGCCCUGGCAGUCAGAGGCGAUGAAGGACGUGCUAAUCUGCGAUAAGCGUCGGUAAGGUGAUAUGAACCGUUAUAACCGGCGAUUUCCGAAUGGGGAAACCCAGUGUGAUUCGUCACACUAUCAUUAACUGAAUCCAUAGGUUAAUGAGGCGAACCGGGGGAACUGAAACAUCUAAGUACCCCGAGGAAAAGAAAUCAACCGAGAUUCCCCCAGUAGCGGCGAGCGAACGGGGAGCAGCCCAGAGCCUGAAUCAGUGUGUGUGUUAGUGGAAGCGUCUGGAAAGGCGCGCGAUACAGGGUGACAGCCCCGUACACAAAAAUGCACAUGCUGUGAGCUCGAUGAGUAGGGCGGGACACGUGGUAUCCUGUCUGAAUAUGGGGGGACCAUCCUCCAAGGCUAAAUACUCCUGACUGACCGAUAGUGAACCAGUACCGUGAGGGAAAGGCGAAAAGAACCCCGGCGAGGGGAGUGAAAAAGAACCUGAAACCGUGUACGUACAAGCAGUGGGAGCACAGAGCAAUCUGUGUGACUGCGUACCUUUUGUAUAAUGGGUCAGCGACUUAUAUUCUGUAGCAAGGUUAACCGAAUAGGGGAGCCGAAGGGAAACCGAGUCUUAACUGGGCGUUAAGUUGCAGGGUAUAGACCCGAAACCCGGUGAUCUAGCCAUGGGCAGGUUGAAGGUUGGGUAACACUAACUGGAGGACCGAACCGACUAAUGUUGAAAAAUUAGCGGAUGACUUGUGGCUGGGGGUGAAAGGCCAAUCAAACCGGGAGAUAGCUGGUUCUCCCCGAAAGCUAUUUAGGUAGCGCCUCGUGAAUUCAUCUCCGGGGGUAGAGCACUGUUUCGGCAAGGGGGUCAUCCCGACUUACCAACCCGAUGCAAACUGCGAAUACCGGAGAAUGUUAUCACGGGAGACACACGGCGGGUGCUAACGUCCGUCGUGAAGAGGGAAACAACCCAGACCGCCAGCUAAGGUCCCAAAGUCAUGGUUAAGUGGGAAACGAUGUGGGAAGGCCCAGACAGCCAGGAUGUUGGCUUAGAAGCAGCCAUCAUUUAAAGAAAGCGUAAUAGCUCACUGGUCGAGUCGGCCUGCGCGGAAGAUGUAACGGGGCUAAACCAUGCACCGAAGCUGCGGCAGCGACGCUUAUGCGUUGUUGGGUAGGGGAGCGUUCUGUAAGCCUGCGAAGGUGUGCUGUGAGGCAUGCUGGAGGUAUCAGAAGUGCGAAUGCUGACAUAAGUAACGAUAAAGCGGGUGAAAAGCCCGCUCGCCGGAAGACCAAGGGUUCCUGUCCAACGUUAAUCGGGGCAGGGUGAGUCGACCCCUAAGGCGAGGCCGAAAGGCGUAGUCGAUGGGAAACAGGUUAAUAUUCCUGUACUUGGUGUUACUGCGAAGGGGGGACGGAGAAGGCUAUGUUGGCCGGGCGACGGUUGUCCCGGUUUAAGCGUGUAGGCUGGUUUUCCAGGCAAAUCCGGAAAAUCAAGGCUGAGGCGUGAUGACGAGGCACUACGGUGCUGAAGCAACAAAUGCCCUGCUUCCAGGAAAAGCCUCUAAGCAUCAGGUAACAUCAAAUCGUACCCCAAACCGACACAGGUGGUCAGGUAGAGAAUACCAAGGCGCUUGAGAGAACUCGGGUGAAGGAACUAGGCAAAAUGGUGCCGUAACUUCGGGAGAAGGCACGCUGAUAUGUAGGUGAAGCGACUUGCUCGUGGAGCUGAAAUCAGUCGAAGAUACCAGCUGGCUGCAACUGUUUAUUAAAAACACAGCACUGUGCAAACACGAAAGUGGACGUAUACGGUGUGACGCCUGCCCGGUGCCGGAAGGUUAAUUGAUGGGGUCAGCGCAAGCGAAGCUCUUGAUCGAAGCCCCGGUAAACGGCGGCCGUAACUAUAACGGUCCUAAGGUAGCGAAAUUCCUUGUCGGGUAAGUUCCGACCUGCACGAAUGGCGUAAUGAUGGCCAGGCUGUCUCCACCCGAGACUCAGUGAAAUUGAACUCGCUGUGAAGAUGCAGUGUACCCGCGGCAAGACGGAAAGACCCCGUGAACCUUUACUAUAGCUUGACACUGAACAUUGAGCCUUGAUGUGUAGGAUAGGUGGGAGGCUUUGAAGUGUGGACGCCAGUCUGCAUGGAGCCGACCUUGAAAUACCACCCUUUAAUGUUUGAUGUUCUAACGUUGACCCGUAAUCCGGGUUGCGGACAGUGUCUGGUGGGUAGUUUGACUGGGGCGGUCUCCUCCUAAAGAGUAACGGAGGAGCACGAAGGUUGGCUAAUCCUGGUCGGACAUCAGGAGGUUAGUGCAAUGGCAUAAGCCAGCUUGACUGCGAGCGUGACGGCGCGAGCAGGUGCGAAAGCAGGUCAUAGUGAUCCGGUGGUUCUGAAUGGAAGGGCCAUCGCUCAACGGAUAAAAGGUACUCCGGGGAUAACAGGCUGAUACCGCCCAAGAGUUCAUAUCGACGGCGGUGUUUGGCACCUCGAUGUCGGCUCAUCACAUCCUGGGGCUGAAGUAGGUCCCAAGGGUAUGGCUGUUCGCCAUUUAAAGUGGUACGCGAGCUGGGUUUAGAACGUCGUGAGACAGUUCGGUCCCUAUCUGCCGUGGGCGCUGGAGAACUGAGGGGGGCUGCUCCUAGUACGAGAGGACCGGAGUGGACGCAUCACUGGUGUUCGGGUUGUCAUGCCAAUGGCACUGCCCGGUAGCUAAAUGCGGAAGAGAUAAGUGCUGAAAGCAUCUAAGCACGAAACUUGCCCCGAGAUGAGUUCUCCCUGACUCCUUGA